Molecule: ribosomal RNA, 454 nt
Filed under: uncultured bacterium
Lineage: Bacteria
Description: bacterial SSU rRNA
Rfam family: Bacterial small subunit ribosomal RNA
Source: RNAcentral
AGCGAACGUUUGCGGCGGGCCUAACACAUGCAAGUCGAACGCACUAGCAAUAGUGAGUGGCGCACGGGUGCGUAACACGUGGGUAAUCAACCCUUCAGCCUGGGAUAACGACUCGAAAGGGUCGCUAAUACCGGAUACGGCGCGAGAGGCUUCGGCUUCUCACGAGAAAGCCACGCAAGGGGCACUGAAGGACGAGCCUGCGGCCCAUCAGCUAGUUGGUGAGGUAAGAGCUCACCAAGGCUAAGACGGGUAGCUGGUCUGAGAGGAUGAUCAGCCACACUGGAACUGAGACACGGUCCAGACUCCUACGGGAGGCAGCAGUGGGGAAUAUUGCGCAAUGGGCGAAAGCCUGACGCAGCCACGCCGCGUGAGCGAUGAAGGCCUUCGGGUCGUAAAGACGUCUGUGGGAGGGGACGGAAGUAGGCGCCGUGAAGAAGCGGCGAGUGACGGUACC